This 102-nucleotide ribosomal RNA is filed under the name Staphylococcus pseudintermedius. RNAcentral's name for it is "partial 16S ribosomal RNA". It matches the Rfam family "Bacterial small subunit ribosomal RNA", at positions 1439 to 1533 of the family's 1533-position model. Lineage: Bacteria; Bacillati; Bacillota; Bacilli; Caryophanales; Staphylococcaceae. The record is from RNAcentral.
CAUUUUGGAGCUAGCCGUCGAAGGUGGGACAAAUGAUUGGGGUGAAGUCGUAACAAGGUAGCCGUAUCGGAAGGUGCGGCUGGAUCACCUCCUUUCUAAGGA